CCUACGGGAGGCAGCAGGGAGGAAUAUUGGUCAAUGGGCGCGAGCCUGAACCAGCCAAGUAGCGUGAAGGAUGACUGCCCGACGGGUUGUAAACUGCUUUUAUAAAGGAAUAAAGUGAGGCACGUGUGCCUUUUUGUAUGUACUUUAUGAAUAAGGAUCGGCUAACUCCGUGCCAGCAGCCGCGGUAAUACGGAGGAUCCGAGCGUUAUCCGGAUUUAUGGGGUUUAAAGGGAGCGUAGAUGGGUUGUUAAGUCAGUUGUGAAAGUUUGCGGCUAAACCGUAAAAUUUCAAUUGAUACUGGCAGUCUUGCGUACCGUUUAGGUCGGCGGCCUUCGUGUUGUAGCGGUGCACUGC
This 354-nucleotide ribosomal RNA is filed under the name uncultured bacterium. Its description in RNAcentral is "partial 16S ribosomal RNA". It matches the Rfam family "Bacterial small subunit ribosomal RNA", at positions 338 to 689 of the family's 1533-position model. The record is from RNAcentral.